UUGAUUGAUUUUAUCAGUGGAUUUUGAAUACUGCACUAGAUUUCUGUUGAUGUAAAGUACUUCAUUUACUUAGAAUUUCUUUAUAGUUCAGCUCUAUGUAGUAAAAACUGAUGUGUGAAUGGCUAGGCAAGAUAAAAUAUUCCAAUUUUGUAUUUAAUUUUGCUGUCUUGACUCUCAUCUACCUGCAAAUAUUUUUUCUGAUUUGUAGCUUAGUGAUAUUUUCUUGUUUAUGUAAUUUAGAUAAAAUUAGUAUUGACAUAUAUUUGAUAUUUAUGAAUAUAUUUAUUUUGUGACUUUAUGUUUUAUU
This 307-nucleotide long non-coding RNA is filed under the name Bos taurus (domestic cattle). Its description in RNAcentral is "long non-coding RNA NONBTAT022056". The record is from RNAcentral. Lineage: Eukaryota; Metazoa; Chordata; Mammalia; Artiodactyla; Bovidae.